This is a long non-coding RNA of Gossypium raimondii (Peruvian cotton), 902 nucleotides long. RefSeq lists it as uncharacterized. The transcript has 2 exons. The record is from RefSeq and is a predicted model, not a curated record. Lineage: Eukaryota; Viridiplantae; Streptophyta; Magnoliopsida; Malvales; Malvaceae.
UACACAUCUCCACCACUCCCCACCAUAAUUUAAUUAAAGCUUUUAAAUAAAAUCUAUCUUCUCUCACUUCAUUUCUCCUUUAUAUAUUUUGGUCUUUCUUCUUCAAACCCCUCACCAUCCAUCCCCUUCUCUCACCCUGUUUUGUUGGUUCUUCCACAACAGAAGAGGACUUAAUUUUCAGUCCAUUGGCUCAAGAAGGUUAAUUUUAUAUACGUGAACAUCACAAAGAUGAGUCGCAGAAAUGGUCCCAAGCUUGAGUUGAAGCUCAACCUAUCACCACCAAGGCUUAACCCAAGAGUGGAAUCACCAAGCCGAUCGGCUACCGUGUCACCGACAUCGCCUCCAAGCUCAUGCGUGUCAUCAGAGAUGGAGGAUGACACUGGCAGUAGUAGUGAGGCAACAACGACAUCCAUGGUUCUUGUGGGGUGCCCAAGGUGCCUUAUGUAUGUUAUGCUAUCAGAGGAUGACCCCAAAUGCCCCAAAUGCAAGAGCACUGUUUUGCUAGAUUUCCUCAACGACACUGCCACCGCUGCCUCCACCAAGACAAGAAAGAGCAGCUAGACCACACUGCAGCCUCACCCCUGCCCUUUCCCUAAUUUUAAUGUUACAGCUCUCUUAGAUAGUGCUAUUUGCUCUCCACCUUUAGUUUUUGACCUUUUUCUUUAUAAACUCCACUAAUGAUAGAAAAAAACAAGGUGGAGCACCAAUAGCAGUGAUCUUUUCCUUUUUUCUUUUUUUCUCUUUUCCGGAGGAUCCUAAAUCUAAUCAUAGAACAUAGAAUAUUGGCGUUUAUGGGUUUCUUCCUCUUUAUCAGAAAUCUAUGUAAACUGGUUAAAGUGAAGUUGCAACUGCCAAAACUUUCUAUGAUAAUGAAAAAUAUAAUAUGAUAUAGAUCGGGAAAA